AAGAGUUUGAUCAUGGCUCAGAUUGAACGCUGGCGGCAGGCCUAACACAUGCAAGUCGAACGGUAACAGGAAGCAGCUUGCUGCUUCGCUGACGAGUGGCGGACGGGUGAGUAAUGUCUGGGAAACUGCCUGAUGGAGGGGGAUAACUACUGGAAACGGUGGCUAAUACCGCAUAACGUCGCAAGACCAAAGAGGGGGACCUUCGGGCCUCUUGCCAUCAGAUGUGCCCAGAUGGGAUUAGCUUGUUGGUGAGGUAACGGCUCACCAAGGCGACGAUCCCUAGCUGGUCUGAGAGGAUGACCAGCCACACUGGAACUGAGACACGGUCCAGACUCCUACGGGAGGCAGCAGUGGGGAAUAUUGCACAAUGGGCGCAAGCCUGAUGCAGCCAUGCCGCGUGUAUGAAGAAGGCCUUCGGGUUGUAAAGUACUUUCAGCGGGGAGGAAGGUGUUGCGGUUAAUAACCGCAGCAAUUGACGUUACCCGCAGAAGAAGCACCGGCUAACUCCGUGCCAGCAGCCGCGGUAAUACGGAGGGUGCAAGCGUUAAUCGGAAUUACUGGGCGUAAAGCGCACGCAGGCGGUCUGUCAAGUCGGAUGUGAAAUCCCCGGGCUCAACCUGGGAACUGCAUUCGAAACUGGCAGGCUUGAGUCUUGUAGAGGGGGGUAGAAUUCCAGGUGUAGCGGUGAAAUGCGUAGAGAUCUGGAGGAAUACCGGUGGCGAAGGCGGCCCCCUGGACAAAGACUGACGCUCAGGUGCGAAAGCGUGGGGAGCAAACAGGAUUAGAUACCCUGGUAGUCCACGCCGUAAACGAUGUCUACUUGGAGGUUGUGCCCUUGAGGCGUGGCUUCCGGAGCUAACGCGUUAAGUAGACCGCCUGGGGAGUACGGCCGCAAGGUUAAAACUCAAAUGAAUUGACGGGGGCCCGCACAAGCGGUGGAGCAUGUGGUUUAAUUCGAUGCAACGCGAAGAACCUUACCUGGUCUUGACAUCCACAGAAGAAUCCAGAGAUGGAUUUGUGCCUUCGGGAACUGUGAGACA
This 1040-nucleotide ribosomal RNA is filed under the name Salmonella enterica subsp. enterica serovar Mikawasima. RNAcentral describes it as "bacterial SSU rRNA". It matches the Rfam family "Bacterial small subunit ribosomal RNA", at positions 1 to 1036 of the family's 1533-position model. The record is from RNAcentral. Lineage: Bacteria; Pseudomonadati; Pseudomonadota; Gammaproteobacteria; Enterobacterales; Enterobacteriaceae.